AUGCCGUUCGGCCUCUGCAACGCGCCGGCAACGUUCCAGGCCCUCAUGAACGAUCUGCUGCGGCCGUACCUGCGCCGUUUUGUUCUCGUCUUCUUUGACGACAUCCUCAUUUUCAGCGAGACAUGGGCUGACCAUCUCCGACAUGUGCGCACCGUCUUCACCGUCCUGCACCAGCACCGGCUCUUCGUCAAGCGAUCCAAAUGUGCAUUCGCCGUCGAGUCGAUCUCAUACCUGGGUCACACCAUCUCCGCUGCAGGAGUGGCCAUGGAUCCGGAAAAGGUGCAGGCAGUGGCCGAAUGGCCGCAACCACGCUCGGCGCGCGCGGUUCGGGGGUUUCUCGGCCUUGCGGGGUACUACCGCAAGUUUGUCAAGGAGUUUGGCGUGGUUGCCGCGCCACUAACGGCCCUCCUUCGCAAGGAUGGUUUCUCCUGGUCGCCGGAGGCGGCAGCAGCUUUUCACGCCCUCAAGACGACAGUCACCACGGCUCCCGUCCUCGUGUUACCGGAUUUCACGCGGCCGUUCAUCAUCGAGUGUGACGCCUCGACAUACGGCUUCGGGGCCGUCCUUCUUCAGGACCAACACCCGGUGGCUUUCUUUAGCCGGCCAGCCGCGCCACGUCACCGUUCCCUGGCAGCAUAUGAACGGGAACUCAUCGGCCUGGUGCUCGCGAUUCGUCACUGGAGACCGUACCUCUGGGGGCGCCAAUUUGUGGUAAAAACGGAUCACUACAGUCUCAAAUUUCUACUUGACCAGCGUUUGGCAACCAUCCCGCAGCAUCAUUGGGUCGGCAAACUACUGGGGUUCGACUUUACCGUGGAGUACAAGGCCGGUAGUACAAACACGGUGGCGGAUGCCCUUUCCCGCCGUGACACGAAGGAGACGUCGAUCAUGGCGAUCUCGGGUCCUCGCUUCGACUUCAUCGAUCGCCUCCGGCAAGCGACGUCCACAGAUCCGGCGCUCGUCACGCUGCGUGAGGAUAUCACGGUGGGUACGCGGCAGCAGUCGUGGGCUCUCUCCGACGGCCUCGUCACUUUCAAUGGCCGCCUCUACAUUCCGCCGUCGUCCCCGCUACUCCAGGAGAUUCUCAGUGCCGUGCACGAUGAUGGGCAUGAAGGCGUCCUGCGCACCUUGCAUCGUCUCCGCCGUGACUUCCACGCACCUAACCUUCGCAAGACGGUGCAAGAGUACAUCCGCACUUGCAGUACUUGCCAGAGGUACAAGUCCGAGCACUUGCACCCCGCUGGGCUGUUGCUGCCGCUGCCGGUGCCCACGGGCGUGUGGACUGACGUCGGCAUCGACUUCGUGGAAGCGCUCCCUCGCAUGGGCGGGAAGUCUGUCAUCCUCACCGUGGUGGAUCGCUUCAGCAAGUAUUGCCACUUUGUGGCGCUGGCCCACCCGUACACGGCAGAAUCAGUGGCGCAGGUGUUCUUCGCUGAGAUUGUUCGUCUCCAUGGUGUGCCGCAGUUCAUGGUCUCUGACCGCGACCCCGUCUUCACCUCGGCUUUUUGGCGGGAGCUCAUGCGCCUCACCGGGACAAAGCUGCACAUGACGUCAGCGUUUCAUCCACAGUCGGAUAGCCAAACGGAGGCUGCUAACAAGAUCAUUGUGAUGUACCUACGUUGUCUCACCGGGGAUCGUCCCAGGCAGUGGCUCCGGUGGCUUCCCUGGGCCGAGUACAUCUACAACACCGCCUACCAGACAGCGACCCAAGAAACUCCGUUCAGGCUUGUGUAUGGCCGUGACCCUCCCACUAUUCGCUCUUACGAGCCGGGCGACACGAGGGUAGCCGCAGUGGCCAGGAGCAUGGCGGAGCACGACGAGCUUCUCGAGGACGUCCGCUAUCGUCUACAACAGGCACCGGCGGUCUACAAGUCCUACUAUGACAGACGCCAUCGGGACAUUCGGCAUGACGUGGGCGAUUGGGUCUGGCUUCGCCUUCGCCAGCGCGCCGCGUCCUCUCUCAACUUGCCAACCAGGGGCAAGCUCAAGCCACGCUUCUAUGGGCCGUACCGCAUUUCAGAGGUCGUCAACGACGUGGCUUACCGCCUUGAGCUUCCGGCACGCUCGCGCCUCCAUGACGUGUUCCACGUGGGCCUCCUCAAGAAGUUCUUCGGCACGCCUCCAACUGCACCGCCGGGUUUGCCUCCGAUCCACAACGGAGCGGCUGUUCCAGAACCGGAGCGUGUGACUCGUGCGCGCCUAGCACGCGGCGUUCGCCAGCUACUCGUCCACUGGAAGGGUGAAGCAGCAUCAUCAGCUACAUGGGAGGAUCUUGACAGUUUCGUCGAGCGCUACCCCGCUUUUCAGCUCGAGGACGAGCUGCUCGUUGAGGGGGGGAGAGAUGUCAUGUGGGGCACGUCCUACAGGCGUGGGCCACGCGGCCAGGAGCAGCAGCCGUCGGCCGCAUCAGGCGAGGCGUAG
RNAcentral lists this ribosomal RNA (2421 nucleotides) under Triticum aestivum (bread wheat). Its description in RNAcentral is "partial small subunit ribosomal RNA". Lineage: Eukaryota; Viridiplantae; Streptophyta; Magnoliopsida; Poales; Poaceae. The record is from RNAcentral.